UAAGCGGAGGAAAAGAAACUAAUAGUGAUGCCUCUAGUAACGGCGAGUGAAGCAGGCAAAGCCCAACUUUAAAAUCUGGCGCUUUCAGCGUCCGAGUUGUAGUCUCGAGAAGCAUGGCUCGUGUCGGUCCGCGUCAAACUGGUUCGGAUGCCAGGUCAUAGAGGGUGACAAUCCCGUUGGCAACGCGGCCUCCCGAUGCAUCAGCAGUCUGCUCUCCAAGAGUCGAGUUGUUUGGGAAUGCAGCUCUAAUUAGGUGGUAAAUUCCAUCCAAGGCUAAAUAUCGGCGGGAGACCGAUAGCGAACAAGUACCGUGAGGGAAAGAUGAAAAGCACUUUGGAAAGAGAAUGAAAGAGUAUGUGAAAUUGCUGGAAGGGAAACGCUUGAAGUCAGACACGCGCGGGGGUAUUCAGCUCGGUUCGCCGGGUGCAUUUGCCCUCAUUGCGCGCCAGCAUCGGUUCGUGGGGCCGCAGCAGCGAGGUGGCAAUGUGGCCGUCUCCGGGCGGUGUUACAGGCCGCCGUUGUGGUCGGACCCGUGGACCGAGGAUCGCAGCGCGCCGCAAGGCAGCCCUCGAGGGGGUAGAGCGCUUAGGAUGCUGGCGGAAUGGCUUUAAACGACCCGUC
This 621-nucleotide ribosomal RNA is filed under the name Phyllozyma linderae. RNAcentral describes it as "eukaryotic LSU rRNA". It matches the Rfam family "Eukaryotic large subunit ribosomal RNA", at positions 47 to 653 of the family's 3401-position model. The record is from RNAcentral. Lineage: Eukaryota; Fungi; Basidiomycota; Spiculogloeomycetes; Spiculogloeales; Spiculogloeaceae.